Dromaius novaehollandiae (emu) is the source of this 3585-nucleotide long non-coding RNA. RefSeq lists it as uncharacterized. The transcript is spliced from 4 exons. The record is from RefSeq and is a predicted model, not a curated record. NCBI's taxonomy places the organism in Eukaryota, Metazoa, Chordata, Aves, Casuariiformes, Dromaiidae.
GCUGCUGCAGAGGCUUCCCGCCGGCGGCCGGCGCGGGGCCCGGCUCCGCGGGGCGCCCGGCACUGCCCACCCCCCGCCCCGGGCUGGCCCUGGGGAGCGCUGAGCGCCGGAGGAGGCCGGACUGGGGUAGCCAUAAGCGCCUAUACAUUUGCCUGGUGGGAGCAUGGACAAUGUUACCCUGUAGGAUGUGGACCAGCCCCUGCGCUUGAGCAUUUGGUUGGUACUGUGUGCUGAACCCUUUGCUGUGACUGGAGAUAAUCAUAAUUUAGUGCAGUGGUAAGCAGUAAGAGGAGAAAAGGUUUACUGGUGACACGUGAGGAGUUUCAGGAUGCAUCCAUUGCUUCUCCACAGCAUACAUGUGAGUGUGACAGUGAGGCCUCACCUGCUUAUAAGCCAAAGACAAAAGACAGACCUUCAUGCUCCAACCAUUAGUGUGGCCAACACGUUUGCCUAAAAUGGUGGGAUUUGAAAGACAUACCCAAAAAGCUCUGCUCAAACUGCGCUUUCUCCUACCCAAUUCAAAAUCACUUCAGCAAGAGUUGUAGUGGGACCAGUAGAGAGCGACUCUUCAUGCAAACAACUUCCAAUUUAUACUCAGGGGAACCACAUGAGGGAGCGCUUUUACCUUCCAAAAAUGACAUUCUCCCCAGGGGAAUCCCUGCGAGUCUUCUUGCUUCACACCUCUCCACUGGGACUCCAAAGUGACUUGCCUUUCUUUGUUAACAUGGGUGAGUAAAGCUCAGUAGCCCCUCAAGCUCACUGGUCACUCUUCUUUCUCCAGCAGAAGACAAGGGUUGACACUUUGGAUUCAUUGUUUAUUGUCCUGGCACCAGAGUUGAUACCUUAGCACUGACAUGACGUGCUGUUACUUUCACUAACCGUUUGGGUUGACUAUCCAUUCUGGAUUUCAGCAGGGUACAUGAAAGGAGAUGGCACAUCUUAUUUAGCUACCCAGCUUCACAGGAGUCUCCCUAUUUAAACACUUUUUAAAUGUAUAAACCAGGCACGGGUUCUUUGCAUGAAUUUCUGGGAAUGCUUGUGAAAGUAACAUCUACCCAAACAACCACUCUGACAUCUUGUUAUCCAACCCAAACUGCCCUAGUUACAGCAGUAUGGCAAACUGGCUAUACAACAUCUGGUAAUAACGUGAUUUUUGAGGAACCAGCUCUGCUCUUCCUCCUGAGAAUAAAGAUAAACCUGCAGUUUAUCCACUGCUGUUCUGUAGUUACACUCCUGCAUUGGAGGAGGCACAGGAAACAGACUGCCACGUCCUCUUCCUCCAUGCCCACUCACCCCUGAGCCCUCUGAGAUUGCCAUUACCAGUGACAGCUAUUGCCAUGAUAGUUUUACGUACCCAUUGAGACAGGCACUAAAGUCAUCAUUUAGGUUUUUUUUUUAAUUACAUUUAGUGUAAGAGGAGCUUUCCAUUGACUGGUAUUUGCAACUAGCAAAAGGUUUAUGGAAAGGUGUCCACCUACAGUACUCGCCAGCCCAGUGAGGUACCUGACACCUUUAUUAUGACACAGGUACUGUAGAAACACUGAGCCAUAAUUAUUCAUACAACUGUAUUUUAUGUAUUUCUUAGAUAUAUGUAUCAUAGUAGGAAAAGAAAUAACUAGUGUUGCUAGACAAAUACACCGUUUUUAUAGCAGUACUACCUCUAGUCUUUCAUCUAUUGGUCAGUCACAAAAUACUGCACAGUAAGGCUUCCUAACUGACUUUCUAGAUUUUAGUUUCUUACUCUUAGGCAAUAAAACCUCCCCUUCAAUAAUUCUGCUUAUUUCUUUUUUUAAGAUAUUGUCUCUCUGCAUGCGUUGGAAAAGUAAUCACUUGACAUGACCGAUGAAGCAGGCAUGUUCCAAAAUUGAUUAAGCCCCUCCUCAUCAGAAGAAAAAAAGAUGCAGAAAAACCUGUUGUUUCACAGAGAAAUGAACUGAAGUAGCAGUACUGGUGAUCUAUGACAAUUUAAAGUUCUCCAGAAAUUAAGGGUAAAUUAAGAUCUACAAGUUAUUGCCAGGCAUCUCAGUUUUACUAGUAAGUGGGAUGAUGAGAAUGGAAGCAACUCAUUUUAAUAAGUGGGUCUUUGUGGAGAGAUAUAUGGGGGGGAAAUAUGUUUUGUAGCCAUUUGCUACCCCUAGAUGUCCUAUGCAGAUGCUGGUGAAGAAGCUAGAUUUUAAAAGAAAGGUGGAUACAGUAAGAUUGAUGGGAACAGUUUGUCAACAAGUAUUGCUAGGGAGCAUGCACAAGAGUUAAUAAAACAAAUUAUGCACCACAUUUUCUUUUUAAACAAGCUUUAAAUAGUCCAUAUUUAACAGAAUCAUGUGUUACAGACAAGAAAUUCUUGCUGCCAAAGCACAAGAUGAGUGUUUUUCCCCUUGUUUUUCCAAAUUACAGACUUACUGAAAAAAAACAGUAUUUCAGGAAUUUAAAAGAAUUUUAAAAAUAAAAUUAUGCUACAAAAACAAAAAAGGCCAGUGGAAGAGACCAGUGAAGUACAUGAAUAAGUCAUCAGAAGAAUGUUAGCAAACAGAAGCACUUACAAAAAACCCACACAGGAGUGGACAUAAAGGCUUUAAAGACACAGAUACUAUGGAGGCUAAUUCAGUGUCAAACAGCAGAAUGCAUGGGCUUUAUAAUAAAAUCUGUAAUUCAUGCAGUUGUGUGUGCAGAUAAUAUAUAUUUAAAGCCAUGUAUUUAAAUACCUCAGAGAAGACACCUAAACUCCUCCCCAGUAAUAUCAACUGGCUUCAGGGAAGAAUUUAACCCAGGUUUAUUUGUUUUUAUAUACUGGCCUAAUCCAAAACCACAAUAUGUAAAAAGAAACAAAGUGAAAGAAAGAAACCAGGUAUUUUAUCUGAGCUGUUCAGAGACACUGAGACAAAGAUCCAUACGCACUUUUUGGUAAUUACAGUCACUGGAAUGUUAUGGCAGGAACACCAGCCCAGACAGUUCUCAGCUGUGUUUCAGAAAGUUACUCCAGGAAGAAUGAUCCAGGGGUUGAGUGGGGAAAAAACAGAAAUUAACCCUGUAGUACAAACAUACAUACAUAGAUGGCUCUUUUCACAACAAAAUAAGAUAGCACUACUGAAUAUGUGGCAGUAUGGAGUGUGUAUUAAGAGACACAAGUGAAAUCUGCUUGGGUCACCUUCACUCAGAGGGAUAAGUCUUAAAAUAUAAUAAUAAUAAUAAUAAUAAUAAUAAUACUUCUUUAUACUUGCCACUUGUUAGCAAUUGUUUACAUCGUAGAAAAAUAGAUAGUAUUCUGUAACAAGAAAUAUAGUUACUUUGUUAAAAUGGGCUAUUUUAAACCAGCUACUAUUCUGUCAUAUAAAGAAUUUCUAAACAGCAAAACAAAAAUAGGUAAUACUGAGUGCAAAACAGCCAGUGGUAUACUUUGCAUUGGUCUGAAACACUAGUUGCCAGCUACUGUAAUUACAUAUUCUGUACACAGUAUUACAAAAGUCUUCAUCUUUUAGAAGCUUGGGGGGGGGGGGUUGUUUUUCUUCUCUCUAGGUGGCAAAUAAGUAUUUAAUCCAAGUAAUUUCAAACUCUGGAAGUCAGAAAUAAUUUCACAAUCAAUCUUCA